CUGCUUAAAUUAUUUUUGAAGAUUGUUUGAAUGGUAUGUCUGACCACCUGUUCCCUUCAGAAAUUGUCUGGAUUCCACUGUCAGAAUGGUGGCAGCAGCUAAAGGUCUUUACUGAGUAAACAGUCCACCCAAUGGCAGUGUUGGAUAUUAGUGGUGAUGUGUUGCCUUUCAUUUUCAGAGGGAGAGAAAAGGAGUGUAUGGGAUUAAGGUCAGAAUACAGACACUGAAGCAUAUGUGUCUGUGCUCCAUUAUAACCAGUGUAGAUCUUCCAGUAAAGUCAACUUAGUGGAGACCUUUUAUUACCAUGUUCCAGUAGUUAAAGGGUGGCUACAAAGAAGAUGGAGACUUCCUUUUUACAAGGAGUCAGUCACAUGGAAAAGAUGAGGGGUAAUGGGUACAAGGUACUACUGGGGAGAUUGCAGUUGG
Pezoporus flaviventris is the source of this 426-nucleotide long non-coding RNA. RefSeq lists it as uncharacterized. The transcript has 2 exons. The record is from RefSeq and is a predicted model, not a curated record. NCBI's taxonomy places the organism in Eukaryota, Metazoa, Chordata, Aves, Psittaciformes, Psittacidae.